This 503-nucleotide long non-coding RNA is filed under the name Homo sapiens (human). Its description in RNAcentral is "non-protein coding lnc-FAM241B-1:1". The record is from RNAcentral. Lineage: Eukaryota; Metazoa; Chordata; Mammalia; Primates; Hominidae.
UCCUCCUCCUCCUCCUCUUCUUCUUCUUCUUCUUCUUCUCCUCCUUCUUCUUCUUUCUCCUUCUCCUUCUCCUCCUCCUUCUCCUUCUUCACACUUGUCUGCCUCAUAGGCCAGCCUUGCCUGAUUUAUUUAACUGCAAGUUAGAAACUGGGAGAGAACCAACUUGGAGCUUUUUUGGUCUGGGAAAGAAAAUCCAAACCAUGCUUCUCUAGGGCCUCCUGACCUGGCUAAGCACCUUGGAGGGAACCCUGGCCACGAGGGAUCCAAGCACCGCUCUGGUUUCCCAGAAGCCUGUGGAUGACUCUCAUCUGGCGGUGGACCUCAGAUGGGGCUCAGCAGUGAAAGAGGGGAAGACAAAAAUCUGGCGAGCGAGCUGCCCGGGCCGAGACUGGCCACUUCAAACAGCCCUUCAAACAAAAGGAGACGACGAAAAGAAAGCCCCACCUGUCUCCAGUGUUUGCUAAAAUAAUAAUAAAUAGAUUUCGUUUAAUAAAUAAUUACAA